RNAcentral lists this long non-coding RNA (1139 nucleotides) under Lytechinus variegatus (green sea urchin). RNAcentral describes it as "uncharacterized LOC121424065, transcript variant X1". The record is from RNAcentral. Lineage: Eukaryota; Metazoa; Echinodermata; Echinoidea; Temnopleuroida; Toxopneustidae.
AGCGUUAAUGAACGCCGCGCUCUAAAAUCGUCUGCAGACGAUCGCGAUACUUGUGAAGAAUUUAUUGUCGAAUGACUUGCCGCGUAUUUACCCAACGCUCCCCCAUUCACCUGUUGCUUCUUUGCAACAACUUGGGAGCAAAUAAUCGCGACAAUAUACCAAUCCUCUCUUUGUGAGUGCUCAGUGCUGAUUUCGCCACCGCCGGCUAGCCAGGAUAAAGGAUCUUACUCCUCCGGGUGAAAGGCGAGGUUGAGGUUUCCAUGAAAAAGUGUCGCCAAACUGGAUUCUUGACUCCUUGGUGAUCUUUCGCGCUCAGAAGCAACACCAUUUCUUCCGUUGACUUUCACAGGGUUGCUUGCCUCUGUAAUUCGGCUAAACUGGAUUAAGAGUCUUUGAGUAAGAGAUCUAUUUUCUUCUGUGUGUCUGGAUCGCCAGUAGACAACCACAUAUUCGUCAGAAAGGAGAAGACGCCAGAAGCCCAACUACUCCUCAUAUCACCGGGACCGCCAAGAACCUCUUCGGAAUAUCUCUCGACAUCUUUCGACGAGGGAUUCGUGAUUAAAACGGAAAUCGUCGGUGACGCAGAACAAAUCGUCUCUCACAGAACGUCGCCGACUUUACGUGACUCUGUCAUCUGAAAAGAAUAGGAAAAUUGCAACAUCAUUAUUGCACAACAGGGCAUGACUUAUUCCUCUGCAGAUACCGUGUACAUUACUUGUAACUCUAAAUUGGAAUUGGAAGUCGGGCCAUCGUCACUCUCCGCUACUGUUCGGCGUCCUUCGUCUUCGUCCGGAAUCUUCGUAAAAUACAUCGUGGGUGUCGGACACUGACCGAAAAUAAGCAGCUGAUUCGUCGCUCGGAAAUUAAUUCAUCUUGCUAACUGAUGUAAUUUGGAAGCCCGAUUGAAACUUCGAUACAAGCAUUAUGACGAAAAUACACAACACCAUUGUCUGUCUCACGCUCACUCUUCUUUUCGUGACUGUGAAUGCCGGGGGAGCCGCUCCUAAUUGGUUGCAUUCUAUCUGCUCUUGGUUCGGUUUCUGUAACGAGGUGUGUUACGGAGACCUCGGGUGCUUCGACACCUCGCUCAACUGCCACCGGGACUUCUUUCCGCCCCUCCCACCCGAAGACAUCAACAC